AUGACCUUCACCAUCAUCUUCAUCUCCACACUUUUGUUCUCCUUACAAGGGUGUAAAUCACAGAUGACAGUAACUCAAAGUCCUUCAGUGAAAACUGCAGCACGAGGAGACUCUGUUACUAUGAACUGUAAACUCAGUUCUUCUUCACCUUGUAACCCAAAACCCUGUGUGUCCUGGUACUUACAAAAACCUGGAGAAGCUCCUAAACUCCUGAUAUAUCUGACAAACCGGCUUCAGUCUGGAACUCCAUCAAGAUUCAGUGGCAGUGGAGUAUAUGGUGGUACAGAUUUUACUCUAAGCAUCAGUGAAGUUCAGCCUGAAGAUGCAGGAGAUUAUUACUGUAUGGGUGUACGAAAUAGUGUGUUCACACAGUGA
This is a non-coding RNA of Misgurnus anguillicaudatus (oriental weatherfish), 375 nucleotides long. NCBI's taxonomy places the organism in Eukaryota, Metazoa, Chordata, Actinopteri, Cypriniformes, Cobitidae. The record is from the annotation of a RefSeq genome assembly.